RNAcentral lists this small nuclear RNA (22 nucleotides) under Arabidopsis thaliana (thale cress). Its description in RNAcentral is "snRNA_01584". The record is from RNAcentral. Lineage: Eukaryota; Viridiplantae; Streptophyta; Magnoliopsida; Brassicales; Brassicaceae.
CCAUCUAGAUGGACCAUCUAGA